GGAUGUGAGGGCGAUCUGGCUGCGACAUCUGUCACCCCAUUGAUCGCCAGGGUUGAUUCAGCUGAUCUGGCUGGCUAGGCGGGUGUCCCCUUCCUCCCUCACCACUCCAUGUGCGUCCUUCCUGAAGCUGCGUGCUCGGUCGAAGAGGACGACCUUCCCUGAAUAGAGGAGGACCGGUCUUCGGUCAAGGGUACACGAGUAGCUGCACUCCCCUGCUAGAACCUCCAAACAAGCUCUCAAGAAUAAGAGACUAUACAGGUUCAUCUGAAAUACUUUUUCUGAAUAUUUUAUUUUUUAUGUAUUUAU
Molecule: small nuclear RNA, 306 nt
Filed under: Jaculus jaculus (lesser Egyptian jerboa)
Lineage: Eukaryota; Metazoa; Chordata; Mammalia; Rodentia; Dipodidae
Description: 7SK RNA (ENSJJAG00000003917.1)
Rfam family: 7SK RNA
About the family: 7SK was discovered as an abundant small nuclear RNA in the mid-70s but a possible function has only recently been suggested.
Source: RNAcentral